CAGUCGCCGCGGUAAUACGUAGGUGGCAAGCGUUGUCCGGAAUUAUUGGGCGUAAAGCGCGCGCAGGUGGUUUAAUAAGUCUGAUGUGAAAGCCCACGGCUCAACCGUGGAGGGUCAUUGGAAACUGUUAAACUUGAGUGCAGGAGAGAAAAGUGGAAUUCCUAGUGUAGCGGUGAAAUGCGCAGAGAUUAGGAGGAACACCAGUGGCGAAGGCGGCUUUUUGGCCUGUAACUGACACUGAGGCGCGAAAGCGUGGGGAGCAAAUAGGAUUAGAUACCCCUGUAGUCCCUGUCUCUUAUAC
Molecule: ribosomal RNA, 301 nt
Filed under: uncultured bacterium
Lineage: Bacteria
Description: partial 16S ribosomal RNA
Rfam family: Bacterial small subunit ribosomal RNA
Source: RNAcentral